GAGAGAGGCUCGCAGCAACGAAAAUUGCUAAUUUUCACAACCCUGGUUGAACUCCUGGGCUCACUCG
RNAcentral lists this transfer RNA (67 nucleotides) under Paraliparis dipterus. Its description in RNAcentral is "tRNA-Ser (AGY)". The record is from RNAcentral. Lineage: Eukaryota; Metazoa; Chordata; Actinopteri; Perciformes; Liparidae.